GGGUUGUGAGGUUAAGCGACUAAGCGUACACGGUGGAUGCCCUGGCAGUCAGAGGCGAUGAAGGACGUGCUAAUCUGCGAAAAGCGUCGGUAAGGUGAUAUGAACCGUUAUAACCGGCGAUGUCCGAAUGGGGAAACCCAGUGCAAUUCGUUGCACUAUCGUUAACUGAAUACAUAGGUUAACGAGGCGAACCGGGGGAACUGAAACAUCUAAGUACCCCGAGGAAAAGAAAUCAACCGAGAUUCCCUCAGUAGCGGCGAGCGAACGGGGAGCAGCCCAGAGUCUGAAUCAGCUUGUGUGUUAGUGGAACGGUCUGGAAAGUCCGACGGUACAGGGUGAUAGUCCCGUACACCAAAAUGCACAGGUUGUGAACUCGAAGAGUAGGGCGGGACACGUGGUAUCCUGUCUGAAUAUGGGGGGACCAUCCUCCAAGGCUAAAUACUCCUGACUGACCGAUAGUGAACCAGUACCGUGAGGGAAAGGCGAAAAGAACCCCGGCGAGGGGAGUGAAAAAGAACCUGAAACCGUGUACGUACAAGCAGUGGGAGCACCUUCGGGUGUGACUGCGUACCUUUUGUAUAAUGGGUCAGCGACUUAUAUUCUGUAGCAAGGUUAACCGUAUAGGGGAGCCGCAGGGAAACCGAGUCUUAACUGGGCGUUAAGUUGCAGGGUAUAGACCCGAAACCCGGUGAUCUAGCCAUGGGCAGGUUGAAGGUUGGGUAACACUAACUGGAGGACCGAACCGACUAAUGUUGAAAAAUUAGCGGAUGACUUGUGGCUGGGGGUGAAAGGCCAAUCAAACCGGGAGAUAGCUGGUUCUCCCCGAAAGCUAUUUAGGUAGCGCCUCGUGAAUUCAUCUUCGGGGGUAGAGCACUGUUUCGGCUAGGGGGUCAUCCCGACUUACCAACCCGAUGCAAACUACGAAUACCGAAGAAUGUUAUCACGGGAGACACACGGCGGGUGCUAACGUCCGUCGUGAAGAGGGAAACAACCCAGACCGCCAGCUAAGGUCCCAAAGUCAUGGUUAAGUGGGAAACGAUGUGGGAAGGCACAGACAGCCGGGAUGUUGGCUUAGAAGCAGCCAUCAUUUAAAGAAAGCGUAAUAGCUCACUGGUCGAGUCGGCCUGCGCGGAAGAUGUAACGGGGCUAAACCAUGCACCGAAGCUGCGGCAGCGACACUAUGUGUUGUUGGGUAGGGGAGCGUUCUGUAAGCCUGCGAAGGUGUGCUGUGAGGCAUGCUGGAGGUAUCAGAAGUGCGAAUGCUGACAUAAGUAACGAUAAAGCGGGUGAAAAGCCCGCUCGCCGGAAGACCAAGGGUUCCUGUCCAACGUUAAUCGGGGCAGGGUGAGUCGACCCCUAAGGCGAGGCCGAAAGGCGUAGUCGAUGGGAAACAGGUUAAUAUUCCUGUACUUGGUGUUACUGCGAAGGGGGGACGGAGAAGGCUAUGUUAGCCGGGCGACGGUUGUCCCGGUUUAAGCAUGUAGGCUGGUUAUCCGAGCAAAUCCGGAUAAUCAAGGCUGAGGUGUGAUGACGAGGCACUACGGUGCUGAAGUAACAAAUGCCCUGCUUCCGGGAAAAGCCUCUAAGCAUCAGGUAACAUUAAAUCGUACCCCAAACCGACACAGGUGGUCAGGUAGAGAAUACCAAGGCGCUUGAGAGAACUCGGGUGAAGGAACUAGGCAAAAUGGUGCCGUAACUUCGGGAGAAGGCACGCUGGUGUGUAGGUGAAGUCCCUGCGGAUGGAGCUGAGACCAGUCGAAGAUACCAGCUGGCUGCAACUGUUUAUUAAAAACACAGCACUGUGCAAACACGAAAGUGGACGUAUACGGUGUGACGCCUGCCCGGUGCCGGAAGGUUAAUUGAUGGGGUUAUCCGUAAGGAGAAGCUCUUGAUCGAAGCCCCGGUAAACGGCGGCCGUAACUAUAACGGUCCUAAGGUAGCGAAAUUCCUUGUCGGGUAAGUUCCGACCUGCACGAAUGGCGUAAUGAUGGCCGGGCUGUCUCCACCCGAGACUCAGUGAAAUUGAACUCGCUGUGAAGAUGCAGUGUACCCGCGGCAAGACGGAAAGACCCCGUGAACCUUUACUAUAGCUUGACACUGAACAUUGAGCCUUGAUGUGUAGGAUAGGUGGGAGGCUUUGAAGCGUGGACGCCAGUCUGCGUGGAGCCAACCUUGAAAUACCACCCUUUAAUGUUUGAUGUUCUAACGUUGGCCCCUUACCGGGGUUGCGGACAGUGUCUGGUGGGUAGUUUGACUGGGGCGGUCUCCUCCCAAAGCGUAACGGAGGAGCACGAAGGUUAGCUAAUCUCGGUCGGACAUCAGGAGGUUAGUGCAAUGGCAUAAGCUAGCUUGACUGCGAGCGUGACGGCGCGAGCAGGUGCGAAAGCAGGUCAUAGUGAUCCGGUGGUUCUGAAUGGAAGGGCCAUCGCUCAACGGAUAAAAGGUACUCCGGGGAUAACAGGCUGAUACCGCCCAAGAGUUCAUAUCGACGGCGGUGUUUGGCACCUCGAUGUCGGCUCAUCACAUCCUCGGGGCUGAAGUAGGUCCCAAGGGUAUGGCUGUUCGCCAUUUAAAGUGGUACGCGAGCUGGGUUUAGAACGUCGUGAGACAGUUCGGUCCCUAUCUGCCGUGGGCGCUGGAGAAUUGAGGGGGGCUGCUCCUAGUACGAGAGGACCGGAGUGGACGCAUCACUGGUGUUCGGGUUGUCAUGCCAAUGGCACUGCCCGGUAGCUAAAUGCGGAAGAGAUAAGUGCUGAAAGCAUCUAAGCACGAAACUUGCCCCGAGAUGAGUUCUCCCUGAGACUUUAAGUCUCCUGAAGGAACGUUGAAGACGACGACGUUGAUAGGCCGGGUGUGUAAGCGCAGCGAUGCGUUGAGCUAACCGGUACUAAUGAACCGUGAGGCUUAACCUUACAACGCCGAAG
This 2924-nucleotide ribosomal RNA is filed under the name Klebsiella pneumoniae. RNAcentral's name for it is "23S ribosomal RNA". It matches the Rfam family "Bacterial large subunit ribosomal RNA". Lineage: Bacteria; Pseudomonadati; Pseudomonadota; Gammaproteobacteria; Enterobacterales; Enterobacteriaceae. The record is from RNAcentral.